Dryobates pubescens (Downy woodpecker) is the source of this 1079-nucleotide RNA transcript. It is a transcript of the gene named family with sequence similarity 174 member A, with no coding region annotated. The transcript has 4 exons. The record is from RefSeq and is a predicted model, not a curated record. Lineage: Eukaryota; Metazoa; Chordata; Aves; Piciformes; Picidae.
CGGCGCUUCCAUGGCAGCGGUGGGCGUCAGGCCAUGAGCACUUCCGCUUACAACGCCCAUAAGGCGUCAGGGCCCGGCCGCACUUAGGCCGCACCGGGCGGUAGAGAGGAUCCAGGCCUGAGCUGGGUAGAAGAGGACAACAUGUGGCCGCCGCCGCUGCCAUGGCUCCUGGCGUGGCUGCUCCUGGCAGCCCGUUGCGGGCCUGCUGCGGCGGCGGCCUUUCCUUCCCGGAGUACCACUACUGAUUCCCAGCGCCCCACGGUGGUAGCUGGCGACGGAACCACACGAAACAGUAGCAGCCGCCUGGCCGAGGUGUCGGCGUCUCCCGAACAGGGCCAGCCCAUGACCCAGCGCGCCCUGUCCGUGUUGGUGCUGGCCAGCGCCUCCCUCAUCGUCUACUUCGUGAUCCGGACCGUGCGGCUCAGAAGGCAGAGCAGAAAAACCCGAAGAUACGGAGUUUUGGAUACAAACAUAGAAAACAUGGAGCUGACUCCAUUAGAGCAAGAUGAUGAUGACGAUGACGAUACAACACUGUUUGAUGCCAAUAUUCCUCGGAGGUCUUUUGCAUCUGCAUUGAAGCUUAGUAAUCAGUCUUCAUGUCACUGCUUAACCAAGAAUGACCCAGGGGAGUACAAAAUGCUUAAGCAAUCAAAGAGUUGCUGAGGACAACUUGAUGAUAAUGGUGCUCAGAUGUUCUCAGGAGAUGUCAUUAUACUUUGUCCUGACAUUUGCAGUAAUUCAGAGAGAAGUACGUGCCUUUCAGUCGAAGAACUUACCUUAGAACCAGAGAAGACUGCUUCGUGGGAAGAGUAAGAAGCAACAGGGUAUACAAGUUGAGGGGACUCAUUUAAUUGUGUAUAUUAUGGCAUAAUUUGUUGCAAUAAGUACUGUAUCAAUUUGUUGUACUUUUUUGUACAUAGAGGAUUCUAAAUGUAAAGCCUGUGGGGAGAAAGUGCACUAAAAUGAAAACCUAUUUGGAAGGCAGAUUACUUUUAAAACAUGGCAUUUUUUUGUUUGUUACAGAUCUUGUGCACCAUCAAUUUGGGAUAUAUUUUUUUCCUACAGUAAUUUGGAAUGCU